Long non-coding RNA from Peromyscus californicus insignis, 4898 nucleotides. RefSeq lists it as uncharacterized. The record is from RefSeq and is a predicted model, not a curated record. The transcript has 4 exons. Lineage: Eukaryota; Metazoa; Chordata; Mammalia; Rodentia; Cricetidae.
GUAUUUUCUUUCUGAGUCAUCCUUUUGAUAUUUUACUUGGACCAAAACUCAGAAUCACUUGGUUUUCUCCAAGCACUUAUUUGGGCUAUUUCCAUCAUUGUUCUUGGAAAUAAUUUUUCUUUUUGACGUACUGUACACUCAAUAUGCGACUUGGUCACCACCAUCAGAGGCCAUAGCAUUGGCUCCGUCAUGGACUGUCAGGAGUCACUCUGACAUAUAAUGUUUCCACUUAGGUUGAUCAGCUGCUCAGUUUUGCAAUGUUUAGGACUGUAUGCAUGUGCAUGUGUGUUUCAUGUCUUCUGGGGGAAAGGCUGAGUGUAUUUUUUAGAGGGUUUGGAGAAUUUCCAUGGCUUGUUUGCUGAUAAAGCAAAUGUCAGAAUAUGCUUUGGGAAGACAUGUGUGGGUGUGUUUUUCUUUAUGGGAGCACGUGUUCUAAGUAUAGGAGACAACACAGGGAGAUGCUGUGCCUCCUGUGAUGUGGCCAGAGAUACCUAUUAGGAGAAUAUGGAAAAUCACCAAAACUGGUGAAGUUUCACCUAAUUUUCUUUGUUUCAGUGAUGUUAGAGGUUAGACUGUGUCAAGGUCCAGGGAUUUGGGGCACCUGUUCAGAGCAGAAGGGAGGAGAACAGAGCCAGGUCUGCAUCUGACGGAUGCUGAAUCACCAGCCUCCCUGUCUUUCUGUGAAUGUGGUGGUUCCACAGCCACCAGCAGCUGGUCUUUGCUCCUGCACAUGGCCCAUUCCAGCCCAGGUUCUGUCCACAUACACUGUGUCUUAACUCACCACGUUCUAUUUUAUCUCUGCCUUUUCAUGCCUUGGCUUGUCUGAAAACUCCACCUUUCUUACUUUUGAUGACAUCUUCCUUGACCUUUCCUUCUCCUCCAAGGCCCACUUUUCUAAGGUCUGUGUGAUCAACAUGGACCUUAAGAAGCAGAGAAGAUGGAAAUAGAGUAAAUACUUUGAUAUGCAGAAGCAAUUAGAGUUUCUUGGAAGAUGUCACAUCCUUUAAUGCAUAUUCUGCUUAAUAUACAAUGGGAAAAUCAGAGCCUAUUGAGCAAUGAUGUUGCUUCUGGUUUAUUGCAGUUGAUUAAUAAAUGUUCCAGCUGGAGGCAAUGACCACAUGAACCUGAAGUUCCUCCCAAUGCUGAAAUUCUAUGACUUGUAGAAUGUCACAGCUGCAGUGUUUAAAAAUAUGUGUUCUGUAUAACCAUGGGUACUAUAUUUGCCUUGUAAUUGUAGCUAUAGGCUAUGCUUGUACAUCCUAUCUAGUCCUUGUCCUUUCUAUAAGGAAGAAAGUCAACCCUCAUUCUAAACUCUGUCACUUGUCACUGCUGAACCCAGAGACUAAUCACUCUAGCAUUCCCAAACCUUCUGAGAAGCCUGGGUCUUAUUUUCCAAUUCUUCCCUUAGUUUAGGGAGGAGGUGGCUAUACAUCCAUUCCAGUGUUGUGACUUCAAAAUACCACAACACAAGCUGAGAAUGGCUUUGGAUAGUAUGCUAGUCACUACCCUGGUCUUUUCUUGGCUCAGUGAAGGUUCAGUCAGAACUUUCCAGUUUUAAACUAGAAUGGGUGGUGUGCAUGUAAGUGUCAGAAUGCCCUUCAAUUCUUGGAGGAUGUCAUUCCUAGGAUGCUCCACCAGAAUGUAAGUUGCUGCCAGCUGUCUAUCAGGAGUAUGGAUCUUGGCUUGAUUAGCAUCUGAGUAGGUGCAGUUGUUAACUAUAUGGAUUAGCUUGGUUAGACCACAGUUCUCAGAUAGUUAGAUACCAGUGUGAAUAUUGUCACAAAGAUGUUUUUCAGAUGAGAUUAACAUUUAAAUCACUGGAUAUUGAAUAUAUUAUAGGCAGAAGUUUCCCUGUCCUGACCACCUGCUCCCAAAUAACCAACAUGGAGACUUAAGAUUACUUAUAAAUGCUCAGCCGAUAGCUCAGGCUUGUUACUAACUACCUCUUACAAUAUAAUCCAUUUCUAUUAAUCUAUGUGUUGCCCCAAGGCUCAUGACUUUUACCUCUAUUCCAUUUUGUGUGUCCAACUCUUUCUCUGUUUGGCUAGUGACACCUCUCUCUUCCCUUCUCCUUCCCAGAAUUCUCAAUUUGGCUUUCCCAUCUAACUUUAUCCUGUUCAGCUAUUUGGCCAAUCAGCUUCUUUAUUAAACCAAUCACAGUGACAAAUCUUCACUGUGUGCAGAAGGAUUAUUCCACAGCAGUAUGUCAGAUCACUCUCCAUAUGUGGAGGGUCCUCAUCUAAACAGAUGAAAGCCCAUGGAGGAAACAGACUGAUGUUUCCCAAGGGUGAGCAAAUUUUGUCUCCAGAUAGCCUUUGACACAAAGUUACAACAGUAACUUUCCUCGGAUCUCCGGAUCUAUCAGUGUCUACAGCCAGGCAAGCCAAUCCUCAAAAUCAAUCAAAUGCUCCUCCUUCUCCCCUUCCUCUCUCUCUCUCCUCUCCCCCUUCCCCCCUACCUUCACUUUUUGGUUUAUGGUUUUGUUUCUCUGAAGAGUCAUGACUAUUAACAUAAAGGGUAAGGAACAGUUUAGAAAGAGCAGCGGACACCCUUCACUGCCUUGUUUACCUUAUCCCUGCUGCUAGAUCUUUGCUGCAUCUCAGUACAAUCUAGGACUGGAUCUACCCUUGGGUGGGUCACUGUUUUGGUGACUGAGAUACUCAAACCAUUUUUGCUUGUGCUCAACUCAGGGGUUUCUUGCACGGAGUUUUUGAGUGCUAAAGUUAGGAAACCAAAAUAAGUUAUUCAAUCUCCCUCAUUUUAAUCACUUGAACUUCUGGUAUCUAAUAUUCUCAGCCAUCUAGUACUUCUGAAAGCAUUAAAAAGAGCACCUCUGGUAGAUUAUUGGGAAGCCACUAUGUCUCCAGUCCAUGGAUCUUGGUUAUUAAUGCAGUAAGCAUGUGGUCACCCUUGUGAGCAUGCCAUUUUAAGGCCCUAGUACUGCAUCCAAGAACCACUCAGAGCUUUACAUAAACAUAUUAUCCUAAUGUUCCCAAAGCACUUUAAUUAUGAGGGUGAUUCCUGCCAGGAAGUACAUUAUACUCUGGCUGUGGAGUAGUCUUAGGAUUCUAAGCACUGGCUGCUACAGGACUCAGAAGACUGCUUGGGAGCCCUGCACUCAGAGGACCAGUCCUGAAAUCAGCCUUGUCAAAUGCUGAUGCUCAGCAACUUCCUAUUUUCUAGCACCUUCAUCUUUGUCUAUUCCCACCCCCAAGGGAUGCUUGGAUGUUCACUCAUAAAUAGCUAUGAAUGGAAGGGAAUGGCUUCCUGUGAUCAUAGGAACAAAAGCACAUGCACAUGUGUAUUCAUGUGCACAUGCCUUCUCCCAGCCCCAUGUUCAUGGAGUAGAUACAGUCUCUGGCUUUCUCUUUUCUCCUUGGCUUGUGGUUAGCUCCCAAGAAGAAUGCUGAUGCUCAGAUCCUUUAAUGGAAUCAAGAUAAAGUCAAGCUUCACCUUUUGCCACACUUUUUGGACUCUCACCUGGCCAGUGUAAGGUGACAAUGGGGAGGGUUGGGUAUGACAGACAGCAUGAGCAGGUCCUGGGGCCCUCAAAGACAUAGUUUCAUGUGGCCAGUGGGUUUGGAGGUGAGAAGUGUCACAUUGGGGGUGACUGUGUUGUUGUCACGACCUACAUUUUAGUGCUCAGGAGAGCCACGCUCAUGCACCCGUUCCACAUCUGUAGCUGCUGACUCCCUCACAGAGACCCAGAUUUCUGCAAGAGAAAGCCACAUCUCCUGGACUCUGCAGCAGUGGCCUUGCUUAAGCUGCAGAUACUCCCGUCUUGAGUUCAUCCUCUGUGAACUUAGAUGGUGUGACACCUUGUGGAAGGUGAAAGUCUUCCUGUCUCUGGAUGCACAUCCUGAGGAUGGUACCUUUGCUGUGCUUUCCACCACGAGAAUCCUUCUUCCUUCUGUUUGACUGGACUUCCGGAGCUUGGCCUGGUGCUUGGCUGCGGAUCUCUGCAUCUGCUUCCAUCAGUUACUGGAUGAAGACUAGUUUCUUUGGAGCUAUGGGUUGUAGUCUGAUUACCCCUUGAUUUACAUCUAGUAUCCACUUAUGAUUUCUUCAAAUUGACGGUGUCACAACCAAGAAGCUGGCAUUGACAAGAGCCAUCAGUGUUACCUGGAUUUCUCCUUCUGGCUGCAUUCAUUUGUUGUGUGCAGUUCUAUAUGAUUUUAUCACAUGUGUGGGAAACAGCAUCCAUCAUCAUAGCCAACAUCUGGAACUCUCCCAUCACCACAAGAUUCUCUGCUUCCCCUUUAAAUAACGACAUCUGCUUCCUCUCAAUCCUACUCCAACCCUCAGCAAUCAACUAAUCUUGUCUCCACGUCUAUGAGUUCAUCAUUUCAAGAGUGUUAUGGAAUCAGAUGAUAUGUGAUAUUUUUUGACUGACUUUAUACUCACCGCAGUUCUCUUGUUACCUACCCAACUUGUAUAUAUAAAUAGUUCAUUACUUUCACUCAUUGAAGGCUGUUCAAUGUUCCCCAUGAUGGGUUGUAUUACUCCUCUGGGUUUGGUAUAAUUAAAUACUGUUAACUGGAUGGCUUAGAAACAACAGAGAUAUAUUUCACAGUUCUAGAAGCUGAGAAGUCCUCAAGGCAUCCACAGGUUUGGCGUCUGGUGAGGGAUGGCUUUCUGGUUCAUAUAUGGCCAUUUUCUUACUGUGUCUUCAUAUGGUAGAAAACAUGAAGGACCUCCCUCGGGUCUUUUCAUAAUGGUGAAGAUUCUGUUUAUGAAUGUUAUGCCCUUGUGAUCUAAUUAUACCCUAAUGACUCUACUUCCUAACACUAUCACCAUGGAGAUUAGGAUUUCAAAAUAUGAAUAUUUACAGGGCAUAAAAAUUCAGACAAUGCCAUGGGAUAUUACAAAUAAAGCUGCUAUGCACAUUUGUAUACAUA